RNAcentral lists this ribosomal RNA (27 nucleotides) under Ficus fistulosa. RNAcentral's name for it is "partial 18S ribosomal RNA". The record is from RNAcentral. Lineage: Eukaryota; Viridiplantae; Streptophyta; Magnoliopsida; Rosales; Moraceae.
CCUGCCCAGCAGAAAAGACCCGCGAAC